AGAUUGAACGCUGGCGGCAUGCCUUACACAUGCAAGUCGAACGGCAGCAUGACGUGUAGCAAUACACGUUGAUGGCGAGUGGCGAACGGGUGAGUAAUAUAUCGGAACAUGUCCCGUAGCGGGGGAUAACCUAUCGAAAGAUGGACUAAUACCGCAUACGCUCUAACGGAGGAAGGCGGGGUCGCAAGACCUCGCACUAGUGGGAGUGGCCGAUAUCGGAUUAGCUAGUUGGCGGGGUAAAACGACCCACCGAAGGCGACGAUCCGUAGCUGGUCUGAGAGGAUGAUCAGCCACACUGGAACUGACGACACCGGUACCACGACCUCCGUACGGGACGGCGAGCAGGUGGGGUAAUUUUGGAACAAGUGGCG
This 371-nucleotide ribosomal RNA is filed under the name uncultured soil bacterium. RNAcentral describes it as "bacterial SSU rRNA". It matches the Rfam family "Bacterial small subunit ribosomal RNA", at positions 26 to 377 of the family's 1533-position model. The record is from RNAcentral.